This is a long non-coding RNA of Platichthys flesus (European flounder), 1521 nucleotides long. RefSeq lists it as uncharacterized. The transcript has 4 exons. NCBI's taxonomy places the organism in Eukaryota, Metazoa, Chordata, Actinopteri, Pleuronectiformes, Pleuronectidae. The record is from RefSeq and is a predicted model, not a curated record.
GCUAGUAUGUAGUGGUGGGGGAUAGGGAGAGACUUUACAGGAGUUUUCAUUAAUCGAGGACAUCUGGUGAGAGUCCACGGUGAACGGUGAUCGCACGGCAGGUUCGUGAGUGUUGUGCUCCCCACGCUACUACGAGCCCGGUAGUAGCUGCUAUGAGCGUCGGUAGUAGCUGCUGUAGCUUGAAGUUAGCUACAUGCGCCCGUAGCAGCUGCUAUGAGCUCCGGUUGUAGCUGCAGUAGCUUGAAGUUAGCUACGGAUGUUUGUAGCAGCUGCUACGAGCUCCGGUUGUAGCUGCUGUAGCUUGAAGUUAGCUACGGAUGCUUGGAGCAGCUGCUAUGAGCUCUGGUUGUAGCUGCUGUAGCUUGAAGUUAGCUACGGAUGCUUGAAGCAGCUGCUACGAGCUCCGGUUGUAGCUGCUGUAGCUUGAAGUUAGCUACGGAUGCUUGUAGCAGCUGCUAUGAGCUCCGGUUGUAGCUGCUGUAGCUUGAAGUUAGCUACGGAUGCUUGUAGCAGCUGCUACAAGCGUCUGCCGUAGCGAACUUCCAGCCCAGUGCUGCCUUGGGAAAAAAUCAGCGGCCCAGAACGGGAGGAUACGCGAGCGGAGGGGGGGAAAGAGCAUGGAGAGCACAACACUCACGAACCUAACUUCCAGCUACAGCUGCUGCUACGGGCGCUCGUUCAAGAUACUGGAGGAUGUUGUUGUCAUAAUGCAAGCACAUCUGUUGACGGUGCUAGGCUACAUCACGUAGCAUGCCAAAGAUGCCCUCAUAUGGCACACAGCUUUCUAUGAAAACACUGCAAACUCACUACAAAAGGACAGGCACACAGAAAACUGUGCUGCACUGAUGUCGGUGUUGGGACCUCAGCUGUAAGAGGCCUCGCUUGGAGGAGGGAGAGGACAACCCAAGUUGUUCAAGUAUGGACUUCGGAGAGCCACAGGAUGCUACCUAUGAUCCUGAUGACUCGAUCACAGUCUUGACUGAGUCAGCAGAUGUGACAUUACGUGGCUAACCUGUUGGACCUCAUCUUUCACGAGGUUUUCAGGACCCCGGCCCCAUAUGUGAAUUGGUGCUGAAGAUCUCAAAACCUGAGGAUUUCGCUGCUAAGUAUGAGAAACCUGACAAGCAGGAAGUUAUAGCUAGCUAUGUUUCGAGUUUCAAUCAAGGGCAGGUCUGAACCCUGUAUAACUUCCCUGAGCAUCAGGGAACACUCUGCGUAUCUGGAGCACCGAGCAGGAGGGCAGGACCACCCUGAUUCUCCGGCCAAGAUGGCCUCAACACCAGCUAACAAAGCUUCUGUACGCCAAAUACCUGUAACGGCUAAGCAAAGUUCACAUUGUAUUUAGAGAAUAAAAGGUGACACACAAAUAUAAAGUGUCUCUUUGUUUACAGUAUGGCUACUGAUGGCACAAAUUGUAUUUUUGUAAUCAAUGUUUUUAUUAUACUUGGUAUUUUUUGUAUUUAUUUCCUCUGUCCCAGCCAGUACAUUUAAUAACUAUGAUUAAAAAGCUCUGUGGCAAUC